This 253-nucleotide ribosomal RNA is filed under the name uncultured bacterium. RNAcentral's name for it is "partial 16S ribosomal RNA". It matches the Rfam family "Bacterial small subunit ribosomal RNA", at positions 524 to 776 of the family's 1533-position model. The record is from RNAcentral.
UACGUAGGGUGCAAGCGUUGUCCGGAAUUAUUGGGCGUAAAGAGCUCGUAGGCGGUCUGUCACGUCGGAUGUGAAAAUCCAGGGCUUAACCCUGGACCUGCAUUCGAUACGGGCAGACUAGAGUUCGGUAGGGGAGACUGGAAUUCCUGGUGUAGCAGUGAAAUGCGUAGAGAUCAUGAGGAAGACCAGUGGCGAAGGCGGGUCUCUGGACAGUUCCUGACACUGAGACACGAAGGCCAGGGGAGCAAACGGG